GACAUGUGUGACUUCCUAAAUCCAGUGAUCAGGGCGAGAGACAACAGAGGGUUGCCCAUUCACAAAGCCGUGGACCUCGCACCUCAACACAGCCGACCCAUCGCCAUUCAGAAAAAGCAACCUCCAGACUGGACUAGACGCUAGCCCACCUCAUGGAUUCUGGAGAUUAUACAGCUCUUUCAGUGGCAUUUACUGGAUAGGCUCAGUUAAACCGCUAUUGAUUACCCAGAGGGAGACAGUGAUUGGCUGUGACUGGACAGCAACCCGCUGACCCAAAGUACAUCAAAGGCGGACGUUCUGAUGGAAGCCCGGAGGCCCCAUCAAUCAAAGCCUAAUGCCAGGGGUGACAUCAGCACGACGCCACAGUCACGUCAGACUCCAGUGACGGAGGAUGCUGCGCCAGCAGUUUCAGCAAUAUUGUAAAGACCGUUGACACACACACACACACUGUACUCAGACACUGAGUGGGAGGGGCAGAAGGGAAGUAGGAAAGGACUCCGAUCCUUUUCCUGUCUCAAUUUUUAAAAUGAAGUGAGAUAAUAGAAAGUCAAGGAGAACACAGAUCAAGCAGCACUUGGCUCUCUGCGUUUCAGUUAGCAUAAUGGAAUAUUAAAAAAAGCCGCAACGGAAAAUGUUUAAGUGGAACCCAGAAGAUGUUGACUUCCAAGCAGAGACACACAGUGCAGUGCCAAGCAGCAGCCAUUUGGUCUAAUUGACACGGGCUGAUUACUCCAAGUCCCUAGAGACAGGAAAUGGUGGGGCACGACUGGCAUUCUGGGCCACCUGCCACAAACAUUCCCCUUUUAUGAUGCUGAUGAGGCCUGUUUAGAAGGCAUUGAUUUGCUAGCCUUUACCUAGACUGACACAAGGCAGCUCCACAAUAAUGAGAGACUUUGUGUUUCCUCAAAAGGGAAAGGGCAAAUGUUUAUAAUGCAAACCUAAUGUAUAAAACAAGGUAACAAAACUAUUCCUCACUCAAGAAGCCCAUAACAUGUAAGAUUCUAAUCUAUGCUUUUCAAAAUAAGGACACGGUUACUGUCACAAGGACAUGUAACAAAUGUGUCAAUGUACGUUUACACAAGGAGACUGAAUGAAGAGAAUGGAGAAAGAAGGCAGGUGAAUGCUAUGCAUUCUUGGUAAUUCCAACCAUAACGAGAUCUGGGGUUGGGUUUUUCAAGGCUAUUCACCCAUAAUACCGGUAGCUACCGUGUUUGAAAGCGCCUGUGCAGCACUGCAUCACUAGCUACUAGCAAAGGUAUUCUACUGGUCCUUUUACUAACCAUGUGGUGCACUACCCUUUGACCACAUAAUUAAGAUGUGUCUGGCUGUAUAUUAUGAAUACAUUAUUGAUCAGCCUAGGACAGCCUGGUGUGCUGGCUGCUUCCCCUCAGGCACCCCUGACCCACCGUUCCACCUCAUUUGCAGGUAGACUGCGCUGGUCUGCCACUUCCUGAACAUUGCCAGCCUAUGCUUCUGGUGUUGCAGCGGGGUGUUUAGUGAUGCCUGGCGAAUGGCCUAAAGGGCUCUGAGUGCAACAUAAGCCUCAUAAUGAUUUUUGCCCUCCCUGCUGGUAAACAUUAGACUCAGAUAUGAUGGUAUGAGCUAUGGAAAUGCCAGUAAUAACACCGUUCUUAAUCAAUCCAGCUUGCAUAAACAAAUGAAAUAAGUGUUUAACUGUUGUUCAAAAAUAAUAAUUUGAUCUUGACCUUCUUCUAGCAUGAUAGUGGCUUCAGUUGUCAAGGCAAUGCGUUCAUUCAGCUACACAGUUGUGGUGAAGGUGAACUAUCUGCCAUGACCUAUUUAAAAGACUGUCAUGUACAGUUAGAGAGAAGGGAGGGGGGUGGAUGUUUUGAUGUUGAGUGAAAGUUCCAUUGAGAACAAUGGAUAAGUGCUAAUCUCCAACAUGGGAGGACCAGCUUAAGGGGUCCCGCCUCUCCCCAGCCCCCCCCCCCCCCCAGUCCAGCAGGCUCCACUUGGCCCUAUCCCUAUCACCAGGGACUUGAGGGCGGCCAUGUUCCCUACCCUACAAGGUCCAGAGCAGUAGGCUACUCAUGACUGUCUCUGAGACAGAGCUAGCCCUGAUGUGGACCAGAGCUGUUCCAUUAGGAGCUGCUAUUAAGUAGUGUCUCCACCUCCCUCGCAUCUACACACAGGCCAAGAAAGGGCACAAAGGACUUGGCGUUUGGCAAGGUUUAAUUUACACAACUGUUCUGAAUGAUGGUGUUCCUCUCUAAUAGAUCAAAUAAACUGUAAGUGACUGAGUGUCUCUUAAUGUUUGCGCGCA
Clupea harengus (Atlantic herring) is the source of this 2284-nucleotide long non-coding RNA. RefSeq lists it as uncharacterized. The transcript is spliced from 2 exons. The record is from RefSeq and is a predicted model, not a curated record. Lineage: Eukaryota; Metazoa; Chordata; Actinopteri; Clupeiformes; Clupeidae.